Molecule: non-coding RNA, 5033 nt
Organism: Xyrichtys novacula (pearly razorfish)
Lineage: Eukaryota; Metazoa; Chordata; Actinopteri; Labriformes; Labridae
Source: the annotation of a GenBank genome assembly
GUUAUGGGGCUAGGGUAAGGUUUAAGGUUUUUGGCGUUAGGGUUAAAAUCACUGUCCAAAACCUUUUUAGGAACAUGUUUCAGACCUUUGGGAGUUAGUUAGACAAAAAAAAAAGAAAAAGAAAAAAAAAUAUUUGGGGUGUUCGGGCUUCCUGAAGGUAAUACCCGGGUAUUAGGUUAUGGGGCUAGGGUAAGGUUUAAGGUUUUUGGCGUUAGAGGGUUAAAAUCACUGUCCAAAACCUUUUUAGGAACAUGUUUAAGACCUUUUGGAGUUGGUUACACCAAAAAAAAUGUAAAAUGAAAAAAAAAUAUUUGGGGUGUUCGGGCUUCCUGAAGGUAAUACCCGGGUAUUAGGUUAUGGGGCUAGGGUAAGGUUUAAGGUUUUUGGCGUUAGGGUUAAAAUCACUGUCCAAAACCUUUGUAGGACCUCUUUUCCAACCUUUUGGUGUUAGUUAGACCAAAAAAAAAGAAAAAUGAAAAAAAAAUAUUUGGGGUGUUCGGGCUUCCUGAAGGUAAUACCCGGGUAUUAGGUUAUGGGGCUUUGGAAAGGUUUAAGGUUUUUGGCGUUAGGGUUAAAAUCACUGUCCAAAACCUUUGUAGGAACUCUUUUCCAACCUUUUGGAGUUAAUUAGACCAAAAAAAAAAUGAAAAAUGAAAAAAAAAAAUUUGGGGUGUUUGGGCUUCCUGAAGGUAUUAUGUUUUGGGGCUAGGGUAAGGUUUAAGGUUUUUGGCGUUAGGGUUAAAAUCAGUGUCCAAAACGUUUUAAGGAACAAGAUUCAGACCUUUUGGAGUUGGUUACACCAAAAAAAUGUAAAAUGAAAAAAAAAUAUAUUUGGGGUGUUCGGGCUUCCUGAAGGUAAUACCCGGGUAAGGUUUAAGGUUUUUGGCGUAAGGGUUAAAAUCACUGUCCAAAACCUUUUUAGGACCAUGUUUCAGACCUUUUGGAGUUGGUUACACCAAAAAAAAAAAGAAAAAGAAAAAAAAAAUAUUUGGGGUGUUCGGGCUUCCUGAAGGUAAUACCCGGGUAUUAGGUUAUGGGGCUAGGGUAAGGUUUAAGGUUUUUGGCGUUAGGGUUAAAAUCACUGUCCAAAACCUUUUUAGGAACAUGUUUAAGACCUUUUGGAGUUGGUUACACCAAAAAAAAAAUGUAAAAUGAAAAAAAAAUAUUUGGGGUGUUCGGGCUUCCUGAAGGUAAUACCCGGGUAUUAGGUUAUGGGGCUAGGGUAAGGUUUAAGGUUUUUGGCGUGAGGGUUAAAAUCACUGUCCAAAACCUUUGUAGGACCUCUUUUCCAACCUUUUGGAGUUAGUUAGACCAAAAAAAAAGAAAAAUGAAAAAAAAAUAUUUGGGGUGUUCGGGCUUCCUGAAGGUAAUAGGUUUUGGGGCUAGGGUAAGGUUUAAGGUUUUUGGCGUUAGGGUUAAAAUCACUGUCCAAAACCUUUUAAGGAACAUGUUUCAGACCUUUUGGAGUUGGUUACACCAAAAAAAAUGUAAAAUGAAAAAAAAUAUAUUUGGGGUGUUCGGGCUUCCUGAAGGUAAUACCCGGGUAUUAGGUUAUGGGGCUUUGGAAAGGUUUAAGGUUUUUGGCGUGAGGGUUAAAAUCACUGUCCAAAACCUUUGUAGGAAGUCUUUUCCAACCUUUUGGAGUUAGUUAGACAAUAAAAAAAUGAAAAAUGAAAAAAAAAAUUUGGGGUGUUUGGGCUUCCUGAAGGUAUUAGGUUUUGGGGCUAGGGUAAGGUUUAAGGUUUUUGGCGUUAGGGUUAAAAUCACUGUCCAAAACCUUUUAAGGAACAAGAUUCAGACCUUUUGGAGUUGGUUACACCAAAAAAAAUGUAAAAUGAAAAAAAAAAUAUUUGGGGUGUUCGGGCUUCCUGAAGGUAAUACCCUUCAGGUUUAAGUAUUAGGUUAUGGGGCUAGGGUAAGGUUUAAGGUUUUUGGCGUUAGGGUUAAAAUCACUGUCCAAAACCUUUUUAGGAACAUGUUUCAGACCUUUUGGAGCUAGUUUGACCAAAAAAAAAAAAGAAAAAGAAAAAAUAUAUAUUUGGGGUGUUCGGGCUUCCUGAAGGUAAUACCCGGGUAUUAGGUUAUGGGGCUAGGGUAAGGUUUAAGGUUUUUGGCGUGAGGGUUAAAAUCACUGUCCAAAACCUUUGUAGGAAGUCUUUUCCAACCUUUUGGAGUUAGUUAGACAAAAAAAAAAAGAUAAAUGAAAAAAAAAUAUUUGGGGUGUUCGGGCUUCCUGAAGGUAAUACCCGGGUAUUAGGUUAUGGGGCUAGGGUAAGGUUUAAGGUUUUUGGCGUAAGGGUUAAAAUCACUGUCCAAAACCUUUUUAGGAACAUGUUUAAGACCUUUUGGAGUUGGUUACACCAAAAAAAAUGUAAAAUGAAAAAAAAAUAUUUGGGGUGUUCGGGCUUCCUGAAGGUAAUACCCGGGUAUUAGGUUAUGGGGCUAGGGUAAGGUUUAAGGUUUUUGGCGUUAGGGUUAAAAUCACUGUCCAAAACCUUUUUAGGAACAUGUUUCAGACCUUUUGGAGUUGGUUACACCAAAAAAAAUUUAAAAUGAAAAAAAAAUAUUUGGGGUGUUCGGGCUUCCUGAAGGUAAUACCCGGGUAUUAGGUAAUGGGGCUAGGGUAAGGUUUAAGGUUUUUGGCGUGAGGGUUAAAAUCACUGUCCAAAACCUUUGUAGGACCUCUUUUCCAACCUUUUGGUGUUAGUUAGACCAAAAAAAAACGAAAAAUGAAAAAAAAAUAUUUGGGGUGUUCGGGCUUCCUGAAGGUAAUAGGUUUUGGGGCUAGGGUAAGGUUUAAGGUUUUUGGCGUUAGGGUUAAAAUCACUGUCCAAAACCUUUUAAGGAACAAGAUUCAGACCUUUUGGAGUUGGUUACACCAAAAAAAAUGUAAAAUGAAAAAAAAAAAUAUUUGGGGUGUUCGGGCUUCCUGAAGGUAAUACCCGGGUAUUAGGGUUAUGGGGCUAGGUAAGGUUUAAGGUUUUUGGCGUUAGGGUUAAAAUCACUGUCCAAAACCUUUGUAGGAAGUCUUUUCCAACCUUUUGGAGUUGGUUACACCAAAAAAAAAAUGUAAAAUGAAAAAAAAAAUUUGGGGUGUUCGGGCUUCCUGAAGGUAAUACCCGGGUAUUAGGUUUUGGGGCUAGGGUAAGGUUUAAGGUUUUUGGCGUUAGGGUUAAAAUCACUGUCCAAAACCUUUUAAGGAACAAGAUUCAGACCUUUUGGAGUUGGUUACACCAAAAAAAAUGUAAAAUGAAAAAAAAAAUAUUUGGGGUGUUCGGGCUUCCUGAAGGUAAUACCCUUCAGGGUAAGUAUUAGGUUAUGGGGCUAGGAUAAGGUUUAAGGUUUUUGGCAUAAGGGUUAAAAUCACUGUCCAAUAUUUUUUAAGGAACAUGUUUCAGACCUUUUGGAGCUAGUUUGACCAAAAAAAAAAAAGAAAAAGAAAAAAUAUAUAUUUGGGGUGUUCGGGCUUCCUGAAGGUAAUACCUGGGUAUUAGGUUAUGGGGCUAGGUUAAGGUUUAAGGUUUUUGGCGUGAGGGUUAAAAUCACUGUCCAAAACCUUUGUAGGAAGAUGUUUCAGACCUUUUGGAGUUAGUUAGACAAAAAAAAAAAGAUAAAUGAAAAAAAAAUAUUUGGGGUGUUCGGGCUUCCUGAAGGUAAUACCCGGGUAUUAGGUUAUGGGGCUAGGGUAAGGUUUAAGGUUUUUGGCGUAAGGGUUAAAAUCACUGUCCAAAACCGUUUUAGGAACAUGUUUCAGACCUUUUGGAGUUGGUUACACCAAAAAAAAAAGUAAAAUGAAAAAAAAAAUAUUUGGGGUGUUCAAGCUUCCUGAAGGUAAUACCCGGGUAUUAGGUUAUGGGGCUAGGGUAAGGUUUAAGGUUUUUGGCGUUAGGGUUAAAAUCACUGUCCAAAACCUUUGUAGGAACUCUUUUCCAACCUUUUGGUGUUAGUUAGACCAAAAAAAAACGAAAAAUGAAAAAAAAAUAUUUGGGGUGUUCGGGCUUCCUGAAGGUAAUAGGUUUCUGGGCUAGGGUAAUGUUUAACGUUUUUGGCGUUAGGGUUCAAAUCAAUGUCCAAAACCUUUGUAGGAACUCUUUUCCAACCUUUGAGAGCAAGUUAGACCAAAACAAAAAGAAAAAUAAAAAAUAUAUAUUUGGGGUGUUCGGGCUUCCUGAAGGUAAUACCUGGGUAUUAGGUUUUGGGGCUAGGGUUAGGUUUAAGGUUUUUGGCGUUAGGGUUAAAAUAACUGUCCAAUAUUUUUUAAGGAACAUGUUUCAGACCUUUGGGAGUUAGUUAGACAAAAAAAAGAAAAGAAAAGAAAAAAAAUUAUUUGGGGUGUUCGGGUUCCUGAAGGUAAUACCCGGGUAUUAGGUUAUGGGGCUAGGGUAAGGUUUAAGGUUUUUGGCGUUAGAGUUAAAAUCACUGUCCAAAACCUUUUUAGGAACAUGUUUAAGACCUUUUGGAGUUAGUUAGACAAAAAAAAAAAAAGAAAAUGAAAAAAAAAUAUUUGGGGUGUUCGGUCUUCCUGAAGGUAAUACCCGGGUAUUAGGUUAUGGGGCUAGGGUAAGGUUUAAGGUUUUUGGCGUUAGGGUUAAAAUCACUGUCCAAAACCUUUGUAGGACCUCUUUUCCAACCUUUUGGAGUUAGUUAGACCAAAAAAAAACGAAAAAUGAAAAAAAAAUAUUUGGGGUUUUUGGGCUUCCUGAAGGUAAUACCCGGGUAUUAGGUUAUGGGGCUAGGGUAAGGUUUAAGGUUUUUGGCGUGAGGGUUAAAAUCACUGUCCAAAACCUUUGUAGGAAGUCUUUUCCAACCUUUUGGAGUUAGUUAGACCAAUAAAAAAAUGUAAAAUGAAAAAAAAAAAAUUGGGGUGUUGGGCUUCCUGAAGGUAUUAUGUUUUGGGGCUAGGGUAAGGUUUAAGGUUUUUGGCGUUAGGGUUAAAAUCACUGUCCAAAACCUUUUAAGGAACAAGAUUCAGACCUUUUGGAGUUGGUUACACCAAAAAAAUGUAAAAUGAAAAAAAAUAUAUUUGGGUGUUC